This 305-nucleotide ribosomal RNA is filed under the name uncultured bacterium. RNAcentral describes it as "bacterial SSU rRNA". It matches the Rfam family "Bacterial small subunit ribosomal RNA", at positions 337 to 634 of the family's 1533-position model. The record is from RNAcentral.
GCCUACGGGGGGCAGCAGUAGGGAAUCUUCCACAAUGGGCGAAAGCCUGAUGGAGCAACGCCGCGUGGGUGAAGAAGGUCUUCGGAUCGUAAAACCCUGUUGUUAGAGAAGAAAGUGCGUGAGAGUAACUGUUCACGUUUCGACGGUAUCUAACCAGAAAGCCACGGCUAACUACGUGCCAGCAGCCGCGGUAAUACGUAGGUGGCAUGCGUUAUCCGGAUUUAUUGGGCGUAAAGGGAACGCAGGCGGUCUUUUAAGUCUGAUGUGGAAGCCUUCGGCUUAACCGGAGUAGUGCAUUGGAAACU